This 253-nucleotide ribosomal RNA is filed under the name uncultured bacterium. Its description in RNAcentral is "partial 16S ribosomal RNA". It matches the Rfam family "Bacterial small subunit ribosomal RNA", at positions 524 to 776 of the family's 1533-position model. The record is from RNAcentral.
UACGUAGGGUCCGAGCGUUGUCCGGAAUUACUGGGCGUAAAGAGCUCGUAGGUGGUUUGUCGCGUUGUUCGUGAAAACUCACAGCUCAACUGUGGGCGUGCGGGCGAUACGGGCAGACUGGAGUACUGCAGGGGAGACUGGAAUUCCUAGUGUAGCGGUGGAAUGCGCAGAUAUCAGGAGGAACACCGGUGGCGAAGGCGGGUCUCUGGGCAGUAACUGACGCUGAGGAGCGAAAGCGUGGGGAGCGAACAGG